CCUACGGGUGACUGCAGUGGGGAAUAUUGCACAAUGGGGGGAACCCUGAUGCAGCGACGCCGCGUGGGUGAAGGAGUAUUUCGGUAUGUAAAGCCCUAUCAGCAGGGAAGAACAAUGACGGUACCUGACUAAGAAGCACCGGCUAAAUACGUGCCAGCAGCCGCGGUAAUACGUAUGGUGCAAGCGUUAUCCGGAUUUACUGGGUGUAAAGGGAGCGCAGGCGGCGCGUUAAGCCUGGUGUGAAAGCCCGCGGCCCAACCGCGGGACUGCCUUGGGAACUGGCGCGCUGGAGUGCCGGAGGGGUAGGCGGAAUUCCUAGUGUAGCGGUGAAAUGCGUAGAUAUAAGGAGGAACACCAGUGGCGAAGGCGGUCUGCUGGACAGCAACUGACGGUGAGGCGCGAAAGCGUGGGGAGCAAACAGGAUUAGAUACCCGUGUAGUC
RNAcentral lists this ribosomal RNA (441 nucleotides) under uncultured bacterium. RNAcentral's name for it is "partial 16S ribosomal RNA". It matches the Rfam family "Bacterial small subunit ribosomal RNA", at positions 338 to 795 of the family's 1533-position model. The record is from RNAcentral.